RNAcentral lists this ribosomal RNA (422 nucleotides) under uncultured bacterium. RNAcentral describes it as "bacterial SSU rRNA". It matches the Rfam family "Bacterial small subunit ribosomal RNA", at positions 358 to 772 of the family's 1533-position model. The record is from RNAcentral.
GGAAUAUUGGACAAUGGGCGCAAGCCUGAUCCAGCAACGCCGCGUGGAGGACGAAGGUCUUCGGAUCGUAAACUCCUGUCAGGCGGGACGAAGGUGCGUCGGCGAACAGUCGGCGUGCUUGACGGUACCGCCAGAGGAAGCCCCGGCUAACUCCGUGCCCGCAGCCGCGGUAAUACGGAGGGGGCGAGCGUUAUUCGGAAUUAUUGGGCGUAAAGGGCGCGUAGGCGGCUUGAUAAGUCAAAGGUGAAAUCCCUCGGCUCAACUGAGGAAUUGCCUUUGAAACUGUCUGGCUUGAGUCCGGGAGGGGGUAGCGGAAUUCCCAGUGUAGCGGUGAAAUGCGUAGAUACUGGGAGGAACACCAGUGGCGAAGGCGGCUACCUGGACCGGUACUGACGCUGAUGCGCGAAAGCGUGGGGAGCAAA